This 460-nucleotide ribosomal RNA is filed under the name uncultured bacterium. RNAcentral describes it as "partial 16S ribosomal RNA". It matches the Rfam family "Bacterial small subunit ribosomal RNA", at positions 338 to 795 of the family's 1533-position model. The record is from RNAcentral.
CCUACGGGAGGCAGCAGUGAGGAAUAUUGGUCAAUGGACGCGAGUCUGAACCAGCCAAGUAGCGUGCAGGAUGACUGCCCUAUGAGUUGUAAACUUCUUUUAUAAAGGGAUAAAUUCAGACACGUGUACCUUUUUGUAUGUACUUUAUGAAUAAGGAUCGGCUAACUCCGUGCCAGCAGCCGCGGUAAUACGGAGGAUUCGAGCGUUAUCCGGAUUUAUUGGGUUUAAAGGGAGCGUAGAUGGGUUGUUAAGUCAGUUGUGAAAGUUUGCGGCUCAACCGUAAAAUUGCAAUUGAUACUGGCAGGCUAGAGUACAGUUGAGGUAGGCGGAAUGCAUGGUGUAGCGGUGAAAUGCUUAGAGAUCACACAGAACACCGAUUGCGAAGGCAGCUUACGAAUCCGCGAUUGACGCUGAGGCACGAAAGCGUGGGUAUCAAACAGGAUUAGAUACCCGAGUAGUC